This 253-nucleotide ribosomal RNA is filed under the name uncultured bacterium. RNAcentral's name for it is "partial 16S ribosomal RNA". It matches the Rfam family "Bacterial small subunit ribosomal RNA", at positions 524 to 776 of the family's 1533-position model. The record is from RNAcentral.
UACGAAGGGGGCUAGCGUUGCUCGGAAUCACUGGGCGUAAAGCGCACGUAGGCGGAUUGUUAAGUCAGGGGUGAAAUCCUGGAGCUCAACUCCAGAACUGCCUUUGAUACUGGCGAUCUUGAGUCCGGGAGAGGUGAGUGGAACUCCGAGUGUAGAGGUGAAAUUCGUAGAUAUUCGGAAGAACACCAGUGGCGAAGGCGGCUCACUGGCCCGGUACUGACGCUGAGGUGCGAAAGCGUGGGGAGCGAUCCGG